UACAGAGGUCUCGAGCGUUGUUCGGAUUCAUUGGGCGUAAAGGGCGCGUAGGCGGCGGGGUAAGUCUGGUGUGAAAUCUCGGAGCUCAACUCCGAAAUUGCACUGGAUACUGCUCUGCUAGAGGGCUGGAGAGGAGAUCGGAAUUCCCAGUGUAGAGGUGAAAUUCGUAGAUAUCGAGAGGAACACCGGUGGCGAAGGCGGCCAACUGGACGAAUACUGACGCUGAGACUCGAAAGCGUGGGGAGCAAACAGG
Molecule: ribosomal RNA, 253 nt
Filed under: uncultured bacterium
Lineage: Bacteria
Description: partial 16S ribosomal RNA
Rfam family: Bacterial small subunit ribosomal RNA
Source: RNAcentral